Molecule: ribosomal RNA, 433 nt
Filed under: uncultured bacterium
Lineage: Bacteria
Description: partial 16S ribosomal RNA
Rfam family: Bacterial small subunit ribosomal RNA
Source: RNAcentral
AACGAACGCUGGCGGCAUGCCUAACACAUGCAAGUCGAACGAGACCUUCGGGUCUAGUGGCGCAAGGGUGCGUAACGCGUGGGAACCUGCCCUUAGGUUCGGAAUAACUCCCCGAAAGGGGUGCUAAUACCGGAUAAUGUCUUCGGACCAAAGAUUUAUCGCCUUUGGAUGGGCCCGCGUUGGAUUAGCUAGUUGGUAGGGUAAAAGCCUACCAAGGCGACGAUCCAUAGCUGGUCUGAGAGGAUGAUCAGCCACACUGGGACUGAGACACGGCCCAGACUCCUACGGAAGGCAGCAGUGGGGAAUAUUGGACAAUGGGCGAAAGCCUGAUCCAGCAAUGCCGCGUGAGUGAUGAAGGCCUUAGGGUUGUAAAGCUCUUUUACCCGGGAUGAUAAUGACAGUACCGGGAGAAUAAGCUCCGGCUAACUCCGUG